CUUCCACACAACAUGUCUCCUGAAAACAUCUCCCUCCAGGACAUUGUUCCAAAAGCAAGGCCAAGACGCAGGCAGAAGUCCACUUCUGAGGAAUGAGAACGCAUGCUGGAGACAGAGCAAUACCCCGACCAAAAGCAAGAUGGCAGCAACAGAUCAUCGCACCUCUGCAGUCUGUCUGCUAGUGGCUACAGCCACCUCCUACUUCCACAGAUCCCACUCAAGGAUUCUCAAAGUUGCAGGAGUAAGAUUUCUUUCCAGCUCCCUUCCUGGUCGUGGUUCCUCAUGUCAGCUUCUUGAAGUCUGGGGUAACUAUUUUCCUGUAGUAAAAUUUCCUGUGAUAGUCUUUCCUUUAUUGCCUCUCUUAUGUAUAAAAUGGCAGUAUUAAAAUUCCUUAUACUGAAUGUACUGUCAAUUUUCAAAGUUAUU
This 426-nucleotide long non-coding RNA is filed under the name Homo sapiens (human). Its description in RNAcentral is "HSALNT0052755". Lineage: Eukaryota; Metazoa; Chordata; Mammalia; Primates; Hominidae. The record is from RNAcentral.